UUGAUCCUGGCUCAGAAUCAACGCUGGCGGCGUGCCUAACACAUGCAAGUCGAACGGGAAAGUGGAGCAAUCCAUGAGUAUAGUGGCGACCGGGUGAGUUACACGUGACUAACCUACCUUCAAGUGGGGGAUAACCUCGGGAAACCGGGUCUAAUACCGCAUAACAUCUCUGUUAUGAGAAAGCAGAGAUCAAAGGAGCUAUUCGCUGGAAGAGGGGGUCGCGGCUGAUUAGCUAGUUGGUGGGGUAACUGCCCACCAAGGCUUUGAUCGGUAGCCGGCCUGAGAGGGCGCACGGCCACUCUGGAACUGAAACACGGUCCAGACUCCUACGGGAGGCAGCAGUGGGGAAUUUUGCGCAAUGGGGGAAACCCUGACGCAGCAACGCCGCGUGGAGGAUGAUGUCCCUUGGGACGUAAACUCCUUUCGACCGGGAAGAUUAUGACGGUACCUGUGGAAGAAGCCCCGGCUAACUUCGUGCCAGCAGCCGCGGUAAUAAGGU
RNAcentral lists this ribosomal RNA (499 nucleotides) under uncultured Acidobacteriota bacterium. RNAcentral describes it as "bacterial SSU rRNA". It matches the Rfam family "Bacterial small subunit ribosomal RNA", at positions 13 to 529 of the family's 1533-position model. Lineage: Bacteria; Pseudomonadati; Acidobacteriota. The record is from RNAcentral.